CCGUGCUAGGUGGGGAGGUAGCGGUGCCCUGCACUUGCAAUCCGCUAUAGCAAGGCUGAAUUCCCGCCCUAGGUGGGAUGGUUUUAAGGUCUGCCUUAAGUAAUUGGUGUUGACACCUUGGUCCUGCACAAUGGAGACCCGUGAACCCUGUCAGGUCCGGAAGGAAGCAGCAGUAAGCGGUAUUCUUCAUGUGUUGCGGGGUAGCCUGGGUCGAGCCAUGACCUUAAGUAACGCUUAAGACCAUCUCAUCGAAGGUGGGUGCACGG
Molecule: signal recognition particle RNA, 266 nt
Filed under: Pontibacillus litoralis JSM 072002
Lineage: Bacteria; Bacillati; Bacillota; Bacilli; Caryophanales; Bacillaceae
Description: Bacterial large signal recognition particle RNA
Rfam family: Bacterial large signal recognition particle RNA
About the family: The signal recognition particle (SRP) is a universally conserved ribonucleoprotein involved in the co-translational targeting of proteins to membranes. Archaeal SRP consists of a 7S RNA and homologues of the eukaryotic SRP19 and SRP54 proteins.
Source: Rfam by way of RNAcentral